RNAcentral lists this ribosomal RNA (727 nucleotides) under uncultured bacterium. RNAcentral's name for it is "bacterial SSU rRNA". It matches the Rfam family "Bacterial small subunit ribosomal RNA", at positions 52 to 773 of the family's 1533-position model. The record is from RNAcentral.
CACAUGCAAGUCGAGCGGAUGAAGGGAGCUUGCUUCCUGAUUCAGCGGCGGACGGGUGAGUAAUGCCUUAGGAAUCUGCCUGGUAGUGGGGGACAACGUCUCGAAAGGGACGCUAAUACCGCAUACGUCCUACGGGAGAAAGUGGGGGAUCUUCGGACCUCACGCUAUCAGAUGAGCCUAGGUCGGAUUAGCUAGUUGGUGAGGUAGUGGCUCACCAAGGCGACGAUCCGUAACUGGUCUGAGAGGAUGAUCAGUCACACUGGAACUGAGACACGGUCCAGACUCCUACGGGAGGCAGCAGUGGGGAAUAUUGGACAAUGGGCGAAAGCCUGAUCCAGCCAUGCCGCGUGUGUGAAGAAGGUCUUCGGAUUGUAAAGCACUUUAAGUUGGGAGGAAGGGCAUUAACCUAAUACGUUAGUGUUUUGACGUUACCGACAGAAUAAGCACCGGCUAACUCUGUGCCAGCAGCCGCGGUAAUACAGAGGGUGCAAGCGUUAAUCGGAAUUACUGGGCGUAAAGCGCGCGUAGGUGGUUUGUUAAGUUGAAUGUGAAAUCCCCGGGCUCAACCUGGGAACUGCAUCCAAAACUGGCAAGCUAGAGUAGGGCAGAGGGUGGUGGAAUUUCCUGUGUAGCGGUGAAAUGCGUAGAUAUAGGAAGGAACACCAGUGGCGAAGGCGACCACCUGGGCUCAUACUGACACUGAGGUGCGAAAGCGUGGGGAGCAAAC